CGUAUCCAGACAACGUAUCUGUGACAAGAGUAGCACGGUAAAGGUCUGAUGAUGACUUGAGGUUGAAUGAAGAUCCAGACGUGAUAAAACGUAUUGUGUUAUAUAUUGUCGUUGUAUUGCGGUACAUUUGACAUUCAAUGAAGAUAUGAUACGAGUAAUCUGAGGAGGAAGGAAGGGCCCAAGUGCUGUUUAUAUUCAUAGACAAGGAACUCCUUGAAAUUAAUUACUGUGGGCAAUGCUGCAAAAAGAGUAAGGAGAAUAGUGCUGAGUGAACACGAAGAAUCACCACGGACAUUUGUCUACAAAUCACAGGUUUGGAAGGAAAUACAACAUUCUUUGACACAACACUCAGGGGUGUGUGGGGGUAAACUACUUG
Molecule: long non-coding RNA, 376 nt
Organism: Zootermopsis nevadensis
Lineage: Eukaryota; Metazoa; Arthropoda; Insecta; Blattodea; Termopsidae
Source: RefSeq, a predicted model, not a curated record